UACGUAGGGGGCUAGCGUUGUCCGGAAUCAUUGGGCGUAAAGAGCGUGUAGGCGGCCAGGUAGGUCUGCUGUGAAAACUCGAGGCUCAACCUCGAGACGUCGGCGGAAACCAUCUGGCUAGAGUCCGGAAGAGGAGAGUGGAAUUCCUGGUGUAGCGGUGAAAUGCGUAGAUAUCGGGAGGAACACCAGUGGCGAAGGCGACUACCUGGCCUGUUCUUGACGCUGAGGCGCGAAAGCUAGGGGAGCAAACGGG
RNAcentral lists this ribosomal RNA (253 nucleotides) under uncultured bacterium. RNAcentral's name for it is "partial 16S ribosomal RNA". It matches the Rfam family "Bacterial small subunit ribosomal RNA", at positions 524 to 776 of the family's 1533-position model. The record is from RNAcentral.